Long non-coding RNA from Salvia splendens (bonfire salvia), 2497 nucleotides. RefSeq lists it as uncharacterized. The record is from RefSeq and is a predicted model, not a curated record. NCBI's taxonomy places the organism in Eukaryota, Viridiplantae, Streptophyta, Magnoliopsida, Lamiales, Lamiaceae. The transcript has 2 exons.
GAGCGGUAAAUGAUUGUUUGCGGAAACAGGGAGUAGGAUUAUGCAAUGUGCAUCAAUCGGCAGCAUGUUUUCUACUCCUAUCUAAUACUCCAAAUUCAGAUGUUGGACAUUUUUGCAGCAAUGGAGAUACGCCGGCUGUCAUCGAAUAUCCCUUUCCACAGCAUCGUCACCCAUCUCGUUGCAUCGCAAUUGGAUUGCUUAGUGUAAUACAUGAUCAUCACACCACAUACUGUGAGGAGUAUACGAUCAAGUCCUGGCAACAAUUUACAUGGUCUUCUGAAGUCUCCAAUAUCUUAGAGGUACCGAGUUAAUUUUUCUACUUUCACCAGUAUUAUAAGUCAUUGUUAACAAUUAUGGUUCUCCAUUUUGCCCUUUUAGAUCUAAUCCUGUUUGAGAAAAGUAAUUACUCUUCUGUUUUGGAGCUCAAAGUAGUUUGAUAUGACCAACAAACUUUUACCAUAUAUGGUUCAUAAAGUUUUUCUAUUUUAGAAGUGAAACUUAUUGUUCCAUUAUCCCUUAUGCUAUAUUACUUGGGCUUUAUUGUUCAUCAUUACAUGUGAAAUGAAACUUAAUCAAAUAGAUUAUGCUCUUUCCUGUGGUACAUUAGUUCAAAGUUACAUGAGUUUGUUGUCUGUUUCGGACAUCUAGUGACGUUCACAUGUAUGCAUGACAGAUAUAGGAAGCGUUUUAAGUCGAUGUCGCUGCAAUUUAAUUUAAUUUGAAGUUAUUAUUUAGAUCUGUAAAUUUUCCUAAUAUUCUAUAAAUUCGAUCGAGUGUGAAUACUCUGUUUCUGAUUCGGUCUGAAAAGAGUUUGUUAUUAUUUUCUUUGUCAACGUGUUACUCUGAAAAUGAUCAGACUAUUUGAAUGACCACUUUUGGACAACUGAGGGUCAAUUAUGUGUGUCAUUUGUGUGUAUAAUGGUUAAGAUUGCUGAUGUUGGAGAUAGAUUAGUAUGCCUAGCUAUUGUCUCCCACUUCUAAUUCCAUUUUUUGAUGUUUCACACAUGACCUGUAUUGCACGUAAAACGUAAUUAUUUAGAUUCUUGUAUUCCCGAUCAGUGAUGGGAAGACUUCACCACAGUUAUUUUCUUCAAAAUAAACUAAUAGAAUUAAAAAAGUUUCCACUGAAAUGCUUCAAAACAAAGUAAAUUUAGAUUCUUGAAGGUUAUAAUGUAUUUUACUUUACAAGAAGAUAUUAGUGUAUGUAUAUUCUAUGUUUGUUUGAUCGUCAUUAUUGACUAGAUAUUCUCUUUGUGAUCAACACUGACUUGUAGAUGAUUAUAUAAGGAAAUUUCCGGAUUUGAGUGGAUAGAAUAUGAUUGUAUACCUAGACCAAAGAAAAGUAAUUUCCAAGAUCCUUCCUAAUCCCACUAUUUACUUGUAAUGUGGUAUUCGAUACGACUCUUCGUCCAAUAUCUUGUUCUUUCUCUGUGAUAGUUAUUUACCCCUUAUGAUUUUCUAUGUGAUUUUUUGUGUCACUGAAAGCAAUAUCUUAUCUUACUAUUUGGUUUGUUGUUACAUUCAUGCUGCACAAACAUUUGAAAUUCCAACCGCAGAUUCCUUUGAGAAUAGUUAAUCAAAUACCAUAAUAAGAUGAUAGCAAGAAUAGGAAUCAAUACAAUUAAUUUCUUAAAAAGUAUGUCCACUGAAGAUAUUUAUGUUUGAAACUGAUAUUGAAUGUUCUUUGUGGCCAGCUGAAAUUUUAUAUCCAGCAUUGGAGAUAUCAAAUUUAUUUAAUCGAAAAGUGUUGGGCGUCUCCCCUGAGGCCUUUUAUCUUUAUUUUCUCUCUUUAUCCGAUUAAGGCAGAGACAUGAAGGAUGUCAUUGUUAGGGCUAGGACUGUCCUGGAUCCUUAUAUAGUAGUAUAUGAGGAGAUAAGAAUCCUAGAAAUUGACUGAUUCCAUAACAUUUCUUCUUGGAAGAAUAUUAGGAAUUCUUCUUGGAGUGAUGCAGAUGCAGAUGCAGAUGCAGAUGCAGUUUUAGGAAAGCAGAUUUGAGCAUACAACUAAACACAACCAUAACCGCUUUCUGUACCUGAGAUUUAUCAUAACCUAAGGUAUAAAUCGGUGUGAGCCCAUACAUAUAUUGGCUUAAUAGUGUUUGUGCAUAUAUAUAUAUGGUUAUCACAGCACUCCUUUUUGUCUACAUGUUUCCCAUGCUCUGAACUCAUAGACUCUCCUUAUCUAUUCUACUUAGCAUAAACCAAACACGCUGAAAGAGUUUUAGUAUAGAUUGUAUUUAAACUGAAACUCAUCAGAAUAAUCAGAUUAUGCAGGAUUAUCAUCUGAAAGAUUUGGAUGCGCUAAGCAUGCUUGGGUUAUUCCAUUAUCACUAUGUAUGAAGAAACAGGUCUUUUUUUUGGGUUGCUGCAUCUAAAAGAUCAUUAGAAGUUAGAACUCGUUGCAUCUAUGCAUGCUUGCUGUUUGUUGUAACACUAUUUAAGUAGAAAUGAAUGGGAUUCAUGCAUAAAAAUGUAUGCAAGUGGAAUGAACUUUACA